CUUUUAAGUAUUUUAUUAAAUAAAUAUAGACAUAUAACAUCAAUAAAAUAAAGCAGAGUUUAUAAGAUUAAAUUAUAUGCUUGCGGGGGCGGAGCUAGCCAGAGACAGAAGCAGACGCACAUGCUAAGAGUUCCUGCGAGAGCAUCGAUUUAUACAAGCAUGUAUCUGGUAAUUCAUAAAAAAGUGUCAGCGCUAUAUAUGAUAGCUUUGCAGUGGGCAAUCAAUUAGGAUGUGAAAAAUCACUAACUUAUCCCUGUGAUUCAGUGGUAUAUAUAUUAUCACCUCUAUGCAUCACAUCAAGUUAGAUUAUGCACAUAAAUAUAUUUGAAAACUUGCUUAAGAGUCCAAAAGUUCUGAAUGGGAGUCUUAGAGGGUUAAUCCUGUGCUGCAGCAAAAUUGUAAUAUCUGUAGAUACACUGUGGUUCAAUGUAGCUUGUACCGUAAAAAGAUACAAAAAAAACUUUUCAUAGUGUAAAACUGCAUUUAUUAGUAUAAAAGAAAAUUGCCUUCCCCCAAAUAGAAACCCUUACAUUGGCAAGUGGUGAGACUUGUUUCCAAGAUAUCACAAACACAUUAAGCAGAAUCAGAGACUGAGCAGCCGUUUACCAUCCACUGUUCUCUGUAGUACAAAACUCCAGCCCGAUCUCAGCGCUGAUGUGUUAGAGUAUAACGAGUACACUGGAGAUCUUUGUGUGUGGUCUAUGUGAGACAGGCUGUAGUCGUCAGACCUCUGUAUCCUGAAUGCCGAUAACACUUCAACGCGUUUUGCCCGUUCUACCGGGCGUUUUCAAAAUAGUGUAUUGGCUUAAGUAAGACUUCUUAAAUACACUUCCAUCUGAUCAGAUUAUAACGAACCGCUGAUGGUAUUGUACUAUAUGCAUAUUAAAUGCAAAAAAAAGUUUUCUGUUUCAGAGCCUAGUGUCUUCUGACAUAUAAUAUUAAAUUUCAACAACUGUACAUUAUCAAGCUUAACACACUUAAACAUUCAUAAAAUCACUGGUAAUAAAAUAAACCUGGAUAAAAAUUGGAACUGUAUUCAUUAUACAUAGACUUGAUAUCAAGCUCGUAUGUUAAAAGGUGAGAAAUGCAUUAAUAAAAUAAACAUAAAAAUACUGUGCAAGAAUCAUGUUACUCAAUCCAUAUACAUAAAGUAAAGUAAAAUCAAGAUAAACUUUGUUCAAAAACAUCUUUGAAGAUACAUAUAUUGCUAUAGAUAAAAAGCAGCUACUUAAUCCUUUCACUUCUGUUUUAAACAACUGCCGAUAUCCCCAAUAGUGAUAUUUUCCAGUCUAUAGCUGAUUGACUGUUUCACAGUGCAGAAUGCCGACAUUAUGAUAUACUGCCAAAAUACAUGCCUGCCGGAUACCUCUUAGGUGUCUGCUGUAUAAAUAUAGCCUCUAUCAGUCAUGAUAAAAUGGAGCAGAAUUUCUGUCUCCAAAAUCUCUCCUCUGUGUCCUAAUAUUAAUAAGUACACAUAUUUAUACCUUAGAUGUUCAAUUAGGUCAUUUUACAACCUACCUUAACUUGAGAAACAUACAGGGCCAUAACUUGGUCAUUUCAUAUAGGAACAUCUUAUCUAUGUUCAGACUAAAACGUAAGGGUGCACACGACAUGGGAAAUUCCCUGACUUGGGGAAUUACACUAACCUAGGACAAAAUGGCGUCCUAAAGUCUGAACACCAUAUUCACUGAAUAUGGGUAAGAGGUAAUUUAUUAAAGAAACAUUGUAUGGCCGGACGGAUUCUAUGCUAGCACACUCAGACUUCAAAUGAGCUUUUUCAGCCUGAAACUACUUACCAAGCAGCUUCACACAAUCUGGGUGCCGACUAGCACUGAGUGGGAACGCGAGGAUAACCGAGCUGAACUGCAUCAUCAGGAUCUCGAGCUGCCUGGUUUCCCGGAGGAGGCGGCCACUCCCCUGGCGCGGGUCCAGCUCUUAAUGGAAUCCACCUUGCAGAACCGCAACCCCCUCCUCCCGGUUCCCACUGGGGAUGCUUACUAAUCCUCAACAGAGAGAUCCCCCGAUGGGCAGUCGACCACAUGGUGCGCCCAAGAUGCACCACAGGCUUUGCAACCACAGGAGCGCUAUUAUGCUUUGUGGGGGGGCAGGGUAUGAGGGUGACAGGGUCACAGUGGGGGGCAGUGUGUGAUUGUGACACUAGGUGGGCAGGGUGUCAGGGUGGGGCAGGGUGUGAGGAUGACAGUGUCAGGGUAACAGUGAGGGGGGCAGGGUGACAGUGACAGGUGACAGUGUGUGGUAGGGUGUGAGGGUGACAGUUGGGGGGCAGGGUGUGAGGGUGACACUGGGGGGGCAGUGUGUGAGAGGGACAGUGGAGAGGUGACAGUGGAGGGGCAGGGUAUGAGGGUGACAGUGACAGGAUGACAGUGGAGGUGGAGGUGCAGGGUGUGAGGGUGACAGUGGGGGGAAGGGUAUGAGGGUAACAGUGGGGGUGACAGGCUGUGAUGUGGGGGAAGGCUGUGAUCAGCCUCCCACAUUCCCAUACCUUUUUUUCAGUGCUCCCCAUUCCCUGGUGGUCCAGUGGCUGGCUCUACAGGUCUUCAUCUCUGCAGACCAAACUCUUGCAAGCUCCAAAUAGAGCGUUGCUGUGGUAACUCGUGCCAAAGUACUGGGAGCUUGCGAUCUUUCCAUCACAUGGUCUAAAGCUCUGCACACAGCAGAGCUGCAGACCGGAGGCUCCCCCUGGGCAGACUGAUGGACAGGCCCAGCGGCACACAUGGCAAGCCGAAAACCCCUUCCUGGUGUUGGGUCCUCGGACAAUGACCAAAUACCCAACUGAUUAGUCCACGGCAGAGCUGCAGACCGGAGGCUGCCCCUGGGCAGUCUGAUGGACGGGUCCAGCAGCACACAUGGCAAGCCGACAAGCCCCUUCCUGGUGUCAGGUUCUCGGAGACUGACCAAGGACCCAACUGAUUAGUCUGCCCCAGGGUUUAGAGAGCCAGCCUGUGGUGGCAAAAUGCUGCCCCUGUUAAAGUGCCACCUGGGGCCAUUGCCCCAGUCCAUCCUAUGGAUGGGCUGGCCCUGUCACUGAUAGUAAGUAUUUUUCCUGAUAAAUCAAUGGCAGCAUCACUAAUGGGUAGCUAUUCCCCUUUUGGCUUCCAGGACAGGAUAACAUAUGUACAUAUAUAUUUUUUAUUUUCUCCUUUUUUCUCUUAAAGGACCACUCUAGGCACCCAGACCACUUCAGCUUAAUGAAGUGGUCUGGGUGCCAGGUCCUUCUAGGGUUAACCCAUUUUUUUAUAAACAUAGCAGUUUCAGAGAAACUGCUAUGUUUAUGAAUGGGUUAAGCCUUCCCCCUAAUCCUCUAGUGGCUGUCUCAUUGACAGCCACUAGAGGCGCUUGCGUGCUUCUCACUGUGAUUUUCACAGUGAGAGCACGCAAGCGUCCAUAGGAAAGCAUUGUAAAUGCUUUCCUAUGCGACGGGCUGAAUGCGCGUGCAGCUCUUGCCGCGCGUGCGCGCGCAUUCAGCCCAGGAGGAGGAACGGAGGAGGAGAGCUCCCCGCCCAGCGCUGGAAAAAGGUAAGUUUAACCUCUUUUCCCCCUUCCAGAGCCGGGCGGGAGGGGGACCCUGAGGGUGGUCCUUUAAACCUAAAGAAGAUUACGUAAAUAAACACAAUAGAGUUAGGAAUACAGAUCUAUUUUCCUAUUCCAGUCACUACUCUUAUUCAGGUGUCCACCCCCUUGCCCAUUAAAAAGGGGUCCAUUGUCCAUUAAAAAUAAAUUAAAGAUUUACUUACCUUUUUUCAGUGCUGAGGCUACCUUGGCUCUACUUACAUCUCCGCCUUUUGCAACAUCAAGGAGGAGGCAUUGCCUCCUCUGCCAAUGUCCAAUCCAAUGCUUUCCCAUGAGGCUUGGGCAUCACCAAGGCCGGCGCUACCAUAAGGCGAAUAAGGCCUGCAAGGGACUUCCACUGGGAGGUUUCUGGGUGGGCUGCUCCUGUGGGUGGGCAGCGGGCUGCUCCUGCCUGGGGCCAAAGUGCUGGGUAAAUGGCUGUUUAGCCACCCCCCAGCGCAUCCUAUGCUCCCUCUGCCUCCCUGUUGCUGCAGUGCCGAUCAUCUGCUCAGGGAGAGGGGGUUUGUUGAACCCCCAGCAUCCAAGCAGAGCACGCUGCUUCCUGCAGGCAGGAGAAGCCAGGAUGUGACUUGGUAUUCCAGCUGCCCUCUGCCUGUGAACACAGGAAGCCCUCUGGAGGGAGCAGGAAGCAGCCUGUGCUCACAGUGCACAGCCCUUCUGUUCCCCCAGGAACAAGGACAGAUACCUGCAGGCUGAAAAUUGGUGUGUGUGGUGAAACCAGCCUCGCCACUGGGCAUUGGAGAAGACUGAUUGCCAGCUUCCUGCCAUGUGACUAUGGCCCCUUGGAUGUAUUGCCCUUUAAGAAACUUAUUUGGGCUUAUUGGGUUUUGAAACACUUUUUCUGCCCCUUUGAAUACAUGGGAAGGUGUGCCCCUCCCCCUUUUCCUGUCUAUUGUUCUCCAGCAGGGCGUUGUCCCAGGGACACUGCCAGACCAGUUGGAACUUUGUUUUGCCCCUCCUCUGUCUCUUAUCAGCCCUUGCUCUGGUUUAAGGCGAUUUGACUGUUUGUGGGAUCUGAGCGCUGUUUAGAUAUAUUGAGCGCUCAGAUCCAAGCCAUCUGGGGAUAGGUUGAAUGUGGGGGUUCUGUUCAGUAUGAUAGGAAUUAUGUAUUUUUGCUGUUGUUGUGAAUAGAGAAAUUUUCUGUACCUGGAGAUAGUUGGCUUACCACACCCAGUUAAGCCAAUUAUCUCCAGGAUAGAGGACUCUGUGGAACUGGUUUUGGCUGGAAAGCCAUGCUUCAGUGGUCACAAAGGACUUCGAUCUAACUUUUAAACCAAUGGAAGGAAUUGAUUUUUGAGUAUGUUUGUAUUUGGAGUAUGCUGAUUCUGAAAAUGUAAGUUUUAUGUGAAUGUGAUGUAUUCCUCGCUGAGUAAAAUUGGAGCUGAAUUUCGGCUUCACAAAGCACUGACAGACAGGCAUGCUGACACACACAGACACGUACACUGACACACACAGACACUGACAGACAGACAUGCUGACACAUAAACUAACAGACAUACUGACACACACAGACACUGACAGACAGACAUGCUGACACAUACAUACACAUACACUGACACACACAGACAUUGACAGACAGACUGAAAGACAUACUGACACACACACAGAUACUGACAGACAGACAUGCUAACACACACAAACACAUACACAUACACUGACAAUCAUACUGACACACACACAGACAUUGACAGACACAUACACUGACAGACAGACAUGUUGACACAGACACUGACAGACAGACAUGCACAUACACACAAAAUGUACACUUUUGUACAUGAUUCCUACCUUGCCUGGCUCAGCCCCGCUCCUCUCUGCUUCCUUGCUGUCUCCCACUUGGCUCUCUGUGGGAGAAAGUGACAGCCACAAGUCACUUCCUCCCAUAGAGAACAGAGCCCAGCUGGCUACAGGAAAGCAAGAGGCCCGGUGGCGCUGUUAAAGGGCCAGAGCGCGCGACCUGCCCCUGCUUACAAAUGCCCACCAGGUGACCCUUAGUGAAUGGGCCACCCGGUGGGCCUCCUUUGUGUGCCGUGGGCACUAUUAAGAGCUUUGUGGCUGAUUCAGAGCACAGACGGGUUUGUGCAGAUAAAGGCACAUUGAGGAAGAUUUCUGCCAGAUCCAUGUAUCGGAUCAAGAGAGCAGCUGCUAAAAUACCAUUACAUAGCAGCAAAUAGAUAUUUUAAAAUGCUGCUGGUGCCUCUGGAGUCCCACAGACAUCAAGGUGUAGAGUCCUCCAGAGUCUUGCAACUGUGCAUAAACCUUCUAUUCGGCCACCACUAACCAAUGCUCACAAGCAGAAACAGCUGCAUUGGGCAGAAAAAUACAUGAAGACUAAUUUUCAAACAGUCCUGUUCACUGAUGAGUGCCGUGCAACCCUGGAUGGUCCAGAUGGAUGGAGUAGUGGAUGGUUGGUGGACGGCCACCCUGUUCCAACAAGGCUGCGACGUCAGCAAGGUGGUGGUGGAGUCAUGUUUUUGGCCAGAAUCAUGGGAAGAGAGCUGGUCGGCCCCUUUAGGGUCCCCGAAUGUGUAAAGAUGACCUCUGCAAAGUAUGUAGAGUUUCUGACUGAUCACUUUUUUCCCUGGUACAGAAGGAAGAACCAUGUUUUCUGUAAUAAAAUCAUCUUCAUGCAUGACAAUGCACCAUCUCAUGCUACAAAGAAUACCUCUGCAUCAAUGGCUGCUAUGGGGAUAAAAGGAGAGAAAGUCAUGGUGUGGCCUCCAUCCUCCCCUGACCUCAAUCCUAUUGAGAACCUUUGGAGCAUCCUCAAGCAAAAUAUCUAUGAGGGUGGGAGGCAGUUUACAUCCAAACAGC
RNAcentral lists this long non-coding RNA (6402 nucleotides) under Pelobates cultripes (western spadefoot toad). Lineage: Eukaryota; Metazoa; Chordata; Amphibia; Anura; Pelobatidae. The record is from RNAcentral.